AAUCAAUUUAAUUUGAAAUUAAUUUUUUAUUAUUAGAUUAAUUUUAAAUUAUUUUAAAUAAAAUAUUAAUAGUUUAAUUAUGAGUAUAGAAAAAAUUUUGUUAAUUAUAGCAUAUUGUAUUGUAAGAGAUUAAAAGUAAUUAUAAAAAAGAAUAUUUUAUUUAUAGUACCUUGUGUAUCAGGGUUUAUUGAAUUUAUUUUUAUUUUAAAAAUUUCCCGAAUUAUGAAGAGUUAAUAAAAUAAAAUUUUAAUGUAACAUAACUAUUAUUAAUAUUUUAUUGGAUGUGAAAUGUAAUUCGUUUCUUAAUAUAUCUGGUUUUUAAAGAAAUGUAUUUAAUACAAAAAAUUAUAAUUAAAUUUUACGUUUUGUUGUUUUUUUUAAUUUGAUUUUAAAAAUUAGAGGGGAUUAUCUUUUUAAUUGAUAUUUAAAAUUAUGAAAUUUUAUUUGGAAAUAGGAUUAGAAUUUUUCAUUUUUAAAAGUUUGUAAUAAAUUGUUUAUUGAAAAUUAAAAUUUUUAUUAUAUUUAAGUGUUAUAUUUAAAUUUUUAAUGUAUUAGUUGUUUUAAUGAAAUAAUGAUGAAAUUAUUAUAAUUUGAUUUAAUUUGUUGAAAUUUUGUUUAGUUAAUAAAAAGGAAUUCGGCAAUUAAUUUUUCCACCUGUUUAAUAAAAACAUGUCUUCUUGAUUUUGAUUUGAAGUCUAACCUGCUCAGUGAUAAGUUAAACAGCCGCAGUAUUCUAACUGUGCAAAGGUAGCAUAAUCAUUAGUUUUUUAAUUGAAAGCUGGUAUGAAUGGUUUAAUGAGAAAAAUACUGUCUCUUUAUUAUUUUGUUAAAAUUUUAUAUUUGAGUGAAAAAGCUUAAAUGAUUUAGAAGGACGAGAAGACCCUUUAGAGUUUUAUAUAUUUAACAUAAAUUAUAAAUAUUAAUUAAAUUUUUUUGUUACUAUAUUUAAUUGGGGUGAUUUAAAAAUUUAGUUAACUUUUUAUUUACUAAAACAAUGAUAAAUGAAAUUAAUGAUCCUAAUAUUUAGAUUAAUAGAUUAAAUUACCUAAGGGAUAACAGCGUAAUUUUACUUGAGAGUUCAAAUUGAAAGUAGGGAGUGCGACCUCGAUGUUGAAUUAAAAUUAAUUUUUGGUGUAGAAGCUUUAUAAAUUUAGUCUGUUCGACUAUUAAAAUUUUACAUGAUUUGAGUUUAGACCGGCGUGAGCCAGGUUGGUUUCUAUCUUCUACUUAAGUGAAUAUUCUAGUACGAAAGGACCGAAUAUUAAAAAUAUUUUUUUUUGAUUGUUUAUUUAUAUUAAUUU
Molecule: ribosomal RNA, 1301 nt
Filed under: Coleoptera sp. 11 KM-2017
Lineage: Eukaryota; Metazoa; Arthropoda; Insecta; Coleoptera
Description: 16S ribosomal RNA
Rfam family: Archaeal large subunit ribosomal RNA (bases 1052-1211)
Source: RNAcentral